UUCUGGCUCAGGAUGAACGCUAGCUACAGGCUUAACACAUGCAAGUCGAGGGGCGAGCAUGUUGGUUGCUUGCAACCAAUGAUGGCGACCGGCGCACGGGUGAGUAACGCGUAUCCAACCUUCCCCUUAGUAGAGGAUAGCCCGGCGAAAGUCGGAUUAAUACUCUAUGUUCUUCAAUGCGGACAUCUAAGUUGAAGCAAAGAUUUAUCGCUAAGGGAUGGGGAUGCGUCUGAUUAGGUUGCAGGCGGGGUAACGGCCCACCUGGCCUACGAUCAGUAGGGGUUCUGAGAGGAAGGUCCCCCACACUGGUACUGAGACACGGACCAGACUCCUACGGGAGGCAGCAGUGAGGAAUAUUGGUCAAUGGGCGCGAGCCUGAACCAGCCAAGUAGCGUGCAGGAACCGACUGCCCUAUGGGUUGUAAACUGCUUUUAUCAGGGAAUAAAGUGAGGCACGCGUGCCUUUUUGUAUGUACCUGAUGAAUAAGGACCGGCUAAUUCCGUGCCAGCAGCUGC
This 515-nucleotide ribosomal RNA is filed under the name uncultured bacterium. Its description in RNAcentral is "bacterial SSU rRNA". It matches the Rfam family "Bacterial small subunit ribosomal RNA", at positions 17 to 518 of the family's 1533-position model. The record is from RNAcentral.